This 253-nucleotide ribosomal RNA is filed under the name uncultured bacterium. Its description in RNAcentral is "partial 16S ribosomal RNA". It matches the Rfam family "Bacterial small subunit ribosomal RNA", at positions 524 to 776 of the family's 1533-position model. The record is from RNAcentral.
UACGUAGGGGGCUAGCGUUGUCCGGAAUCAUUGGGCGUAAAGCGCGUGUAGGCGGUCCGGUAAGUCCGCUGUGAAAGUCGGGGGCUCAACCCUCGGAUGCCGGUGGAUACUGUCGGGCUUGAGUACGGAAGAGGCGAGUGGAAUUCCUGGUGUAGCGGUGAAAUGCGCAGAUAUCAGGAGGAACACCAAUUGCGAAGGCAGCUCGCUGGGACUUUACUGACGCUGAGACGCGAAAGCGUGGGGAGCAAACAGG